GACGAACGCUGGCGGCGUGCCUAAUACAUGCAAGUCGAACGAGAGCGACCGGUGCUUGCACUGGUCAAUCUAGUGGCGAACGGGUGAGUAACACGUGGGUAACCCGCCCAUCAGAGGGGGAUAACAUCCGGAAACGGAUGCUAAAACCGCAUAGGUCUUCGAGCCGCAUGGCUUGAAGAGGAAAAGAGGCGCAAGCUUCUGCUGAUGGAUGGACCCGCGGUGCAUUAGCUAGUUGGUGAGGUAACGGCUCACCAAGGCCGUGAUGCAUAGCCGACCUGAGAGGGUGAUCGGCCACAUUGGGACUGAGACACGGCCCAAACUCCUACGGGAGGCAGCAGUAGGGAAUCUUCCGCAAUGGACGCAAGUCUGACGGAGCAACGCCGCGUGAGUGAAGAAGGUUUUCGGAUCGUAAAACUCUGUUGUUAGAGAAGAACAAGUGCUAGAGUAACUGUUAGCGCCUUGACGGUAUCUAACCAGAAAGCCACGGCUAACUACGUGCCAGCAGCCGCGGUAAUACGUAGGUGGCAAGCGUUGUCCGGAUUUAUUGGGCGUAAAGCGAGCGCAGGCGGUUCCUUAAGUCUGAUGUGAAAGCCCCCGGCUCAACCGGGGAGGGUCAUUGGAAACUGGGGAACUUGAGUGCAGAAGAGGAGAGUGGAAUUCCAUGUGUAGCGGUGAAAUGCGUAGAUAUAUGGAGGAACACCAGUGGCGAAGGCGACUCUCUGGUCUGUAACUGACGCUGAGGCUCGAAAGCGUGGGUAGCAAACAGG
Molecule: ribosomal RNA, 767 nt
Filed under: uncultured Granulicatella sp.
Lineage: Bacteria; Bacillati; Bacillota; Bacilli; Lactobacillales; Carnobacteriaceae
Description: bacterial SSU rRNA
Rfam family: Bacterial small subunit ribosomal RNA
Source: RNAcentral